This 93-nucleotide transfer RNA is filed under the name Diaporthe ampelina. It matches the Rfam family "tRNA". From Rfam's summary of the family: Transfer RNA (tRNA) molecules are approximately 80 nucleotides in length. Their secondary structure includes four short double-helical elements and three loops (D, anti-codon, and T loops). Lineage: Eukaryota; Fungi; Ascomycota; Sordariomycetes; Diaporthales; Diaporthaceae. The record is from Rfam by way of RNAcentral.
ACCUGCAUAGUAUAGGCGUUAGUAUAUUGGAUUUUCAAAGGUAAAAACAAUUUGAUCUCUCCAAAGACUCGGGUUCAAAUCCCGGUGCAGGUA